This 253-nucleotide unclassified non-coding RNA is filed under the name uncultured Alphaproteobacteria bacterium. RNAcentral's name for it is "contains 16S-23S intergenic spacer region". It matches the Rfam family "Bacterial small subunit ribosomal RNA", at positions 524 to 776 of the family's 1533-position model. Lineage: Bacteria; Pseudomonadati; Pseudomonadota; Alphaproteobacteria. The record is from RNAcentral.
UACGAAGGGGGCUAGCGUUGUUCGGAAUUACUGGGCGUAAAGCGCACGUAGGCGGAUAUUUAAGUCAGAGGUGAAAUCCCAGGGCUCAACCCUGGAACUGCCUUUGAUACUGGGUAUCUUGAGGCCGAGAGAGGUGAGUGGAACUCCUAGUGUAGAGGUGGAAUUCGUAGAUAUUAGGAAGAACACCAGUGGCGAAGGCGGCCACCUGGACUGAUACUGACACUGAGGUGCGAAAGCGUGGGGAGCAAACAGG